This 253-nucleotide ribosomal RNA is filed under the name uncultured bacterium. Its description in RNAcentral is "partial 16S ribosomal RNA". It matches the Rfam family "Bacterial small subunit ribosomal RNA", at positions 524 to 776 of the family's 1533-position model. The record is from RNAcentral.
UACGGAGGAUCCGAGCGUUAUCCGGAUUUAUUGGGUUUAAAGGGAGCGUAGGCGGACGCUUAAGUCAGUUGUGAAAGUUUGCGGCUCAACCGUAAAAUUGCAGUUGAUACUGGGUGUCUUGAGUGCAGCAGAGGUAGGCGGAAUUCGUGGUGUAGCGGUGAAAUGCUUAGAUAUCACGAAGAACUCCGAUUGCGAAGGCAGCUUACUGGACUGUAACUGACGCUGAUGCUCGAAAGUGUGGGUAUCAAACAGG